RNAcentral lists this unclassified non-coding RNA (369 nucleotides) under Hevea brasiliensis (rubber tree). The record is from RNAcentral. Lineage: Eukaryota; Viridiplantae; Streptophyta; Magnoliopsida; Malpighiales; Euphorbiaceae.
GUUGUGUGUGUGGGUUGUGUGGGUGGAGAACGGGAAGGGAAGGGGAGGAGAGGGAAUUGAAAGUUUAGGCAGUAGUCACUCCAUGUUUCUGUUGUCUUAUAUAUAGUUACAGAGUUAUUCAAAAUUAUAAAACUUGCUCAAAUAAUUAGAAAAAAUGCACAACAAAGUGAACAUGAAAAAGGAAAAAAGGCAGGAAGAAACAACAAAAAAAGAUCUAUCUUGAAGAAAAUUCACGAAGUAGAGUAUUAUAUGAGCUCCCUUUCAUUUUUAAGGUAAUUCUACAAAUUUCUAGACUUGAAAUGUAACAAAAUGAAUGAAUUUCUCCAAACAACAACAAAGCCUUACUCCCAAACUAGUUGGAGUUAGCUA